This 400-nucleotide RNase P RNA is filed under the name Chloroflexota bacterium. RNAcentral's name for it is "Chloroflexi bacterium RNase P RNA component class A". It matches the Rfam family "Bacterial RNase P class A". From Rfam's summary of the family: Ribonuclease P (RNase P) is a ubiquitous endoribonuclease, found in archaea, bacteria and eukarya as well as chloroplasts and mitochondria. Its best characterised activity is the generation of mature 5'-ends of tRNAs by cleaving the 5'-leader elements of precursor-tRNAs. Cellular RNase Ps are ribonucleoproteins. The record is from RNAcentral. Lineage: Bacteria; Bacillati; Chloroflexota.
CAAGCAGGACGGGCGGUCGCCGUUCCGGCCCAUUUACGGGUCGGGAGGGAGGAAAGUCCGGGCACCACCAGGCAGGAUGCCCGCUAACGGCGGGGCGGGGAAACCCGACGGACAGUGCCACAGAAACAUACCGCCGUGAUCAUUCACGGUAAGGGUGAAAUGGCGAGGUAAGAGCUCACCGCCCGGUCGGUAACGAUCGGGGCAGGGUAAACCCCAUCCGGUGCAAGGCCAAAUAGGGGGACGUAAGCGUCUGGACAGUCCCCGGGUUGGCCGCUCGACCCCUUCAGCAAUGGAGGGGCUAGAUGGAUGACCGCACAGGGUCUGAUCGUGGGGAUGAAGGCUAGAUCGUAAACCCACGGACGGACCCGGACAGAACCCGGCUUACAGUCCGACUUGCUUA